AGGGAUCAGGAUGGCAGAGCCAGGGCCCAGGAGGAGCGCCACACCCGGCCGCCAGGGAUGUGGCAGGAAAGUAACUGCUGCCCGGGAAGAACACUACACUCCGAAGGGGCGAGCAAAGGCCCUGAGGCAUAAAGCCGGGCCUCUAGGGAACUGUCCGGGCAGCGGGGGUUGGACAAGAGGGCACUCGGGAGGUGGGAGAUCAGAGAGAAGCCACAGGAAGAGGAACAAGAAAACGAGGGUCUGCUCAGAGCAGAGGAAUUGGAGAAGGAAAUGGGAGCCGCUAAAGGGUUUUCACAGAGUGACUCACCCUGGUUCCUGCUUUGGAGUGACCAGCUGGGAAGCUGGAGGACAAGAGGGUGCGGAGGUGCCUAUACGUGAGGCAGGGCUGACGGCGGAGGGGGACCGGGCUUGGGCGUCCCCAGCGUCAGCACACGUUUGGGAAGUGACCGCACAUCCUCUGCCUUUGCAGCCCCUGCUGAUUCUUUAAGUGCCUCGUCCCUUUACUCACUUUAGAAACAGGGCGAGGAGGGACAUCGGGACCGCGGGAGAACCUGGGCCGCCAGCCCCUGGCGUCACGGCAUCUAAGCACACGAGGCCCGUCACCCGCGCUCUGCUCUGCCGCGAAGGGCAGAGGGGAGAGACCAGAGAGGCACGGGGACAGGCACAGGGACGGGUGGGAGAGCCCAGAGCUGAUGGGUGGAGGCAGGAAUCGCGUUGAUCUUCCUGUGGGUCCUUUAGCAGCAGCUGGGUGUUAAUGGAAAGAGCACCAGCUUCACAUCAGAGCAGAAUUAGAGCUACAGCUGUGUGUUGUUAGGCAAGGUACUUACCCUCUCUGUUCCUCAGCUUCCCAGUUUAUCAAAUGAGACUGUUACCAACUUUACCAACGUUUGUGGAUUAAGAUACAUAGCAAAUGUUCAAUGCACGGAGGCGAUCUCAGAUUUUCUGUAAUAAUAUAACUCAUUACUUUUUUUAUUACAUAAAAGUAGUGUAUGCUUGACCGCAAACGAAAGAAGAAGAAAGAAAAAGAAAAUCUAGAAAAGUCUAAAGAAUCAAAUGAGCGUCAUUGGAAGCCUCUCGGGGGCCUGGCGCCCACUCAGGGCCCUUCUUCCCUCUGCGAAUGAAAACAUGUAGAUGCUCUGAAACCAGAAAGCCAAGGUGCAUGUCAGGUCACCGGUGGAAGUCCCUCGUCACUCAGGGACACCCGUGGACGUUGGUUCAAGUAAAAAAAAGAACCUGCCGUUCUGCGCGGUCGUUUCCUUGCUCAACCCACCUGCGCGUUGGGCAGACGGGGGGCGCCGGGCCCGUCCCCCGCUUCUCCCCUUAACGCUGCUGUCGCAGAGCUGGAAGCAAACGCCCGCUCUCUGUCGCGGUGGCCAUUGUCACCUCUGAUGCAUGAUGGCUCCGGAGCGCCCCCGUUGCCCCGUCCCCUCCCCGGGUUUCUCUUCCCUCGGUCUGUGACGACGCUGCCGUGGCCCUGUGCGGCCUCCGCCGUGGCCAGGUGGUCACUCAGGAGGAGCAGGCACAGCAGCGUGGACCCCGAUCCGGUUUCUCCUCCAGGGCCGAUUCCUGGAGGGACUUUCCAAAGGCUUUAAUGGCAUGUGACACAUCGCCCUUCAGAGAGACGCUGCCCGUUCACAGCCCAGCAGGGCCGGCCCUGGACAGCUGGGGGGCGGGUGACGCAGGGACAUUAAAGGGAGAGACGCGGAGAGGAGGGCGGAGGCCUCGUGACCCCAGGGCCAGCCCCGGCCAGGGGGCGCCCAGGGCCCAGGCACAGCCCACGGGUGACCGUGACGGAUUAAGUCCUGACGCAAUGGUUCCGUCGAACCCGGGGACAAAGCGAGGCAGAGACUCUUGGGUCUGAUUGGAGCUGCUUUUCCAGAGAAGUCGGGAGCAGCCGCCCGGCUGCAGGACAGAAGGGGACACAGAGCUGCGGCAGCCCCGGGGUCCCACGCAGAGCUCCCGGGGGGCCAGGCAGGAGGACCCGCUGCCCUGCGGCAGCCGUCACCGUGGCCAAGCGGGCUCUGGGCUGGGGCCUGGCCAAGGGCCUGGCUGGGAGGGCAG
RNAcentral lists this long non-coding RNA (2061 nucleotides) under Marmota monax (woodchuck). Lineage: Eukaryota; Metazoa; Chordata; Mammalia; Rodentia; Sciuridae. The record is from RNAcentral.